Molecule: long non-coding RNA, 279 nt
Organism: Xiphophorus hellerii (green swordtail)
Lineage: Eukaryota; Metazoa; Chordata; Actinopteri; Cyprinodontiformes; Poeciliidae
Exons: 2
Source: RefSeq, a predicted model, not a curated record
CGCAGACUGGUGGAUUUUACCCGGAUACCGAGGAUCAUCUUACACCGAAUAGAUCUCUCACAGUGCUGGGUGUGUAAAGAGAAGGAGGUUCUCAAUGAAUUCAGCAACCAGGAGAGGAAGUCCACUUCAGAUAAAGAAGAACCAGAACAUCAAGAGUCCAAAGAGGAAGAGAAGCAACUCUGCAUCAGUCAGGAUGAAGAGCAUCUUGUGCUGAAACAGGAGACUGAUGACAUUUUGGUGAAUCCUCUUAAUGUGCAAAGAAUCCACAAUGAAACAGAA